This 1849-nucleotide long non-coding RNA is filed under the name Marmota monax (woodchuck). Lineage: Eukaryota; Metazoa; Chordata; Mammalia; Rodentia; Sciuridae. The record is from RNAcentral.
AAAUUAAUUAAUUUGUUCAUAAAAAUGACUUAGCAAAGGGACCUUAAGAUUGUGGAUUGUGUAUGUUUCUUAAAUUCAACCUGAAAUAUCACAUUUAUGGGUACUUUAAAUGCCCAUAUGUAUAUGGUCCUUCCUUUGGAUCCAGAAAUGUAAUUCAAGGUGUGUAUAAGGAAGCCUAAAAUGUAAAUUCCACAAUGAUAUUUUUUGGGGAAAAAUGCAAAUGGCUAGCACUCCAGUCCUCCUUUAGCAAGAGCCAAGCUUGUUUGAUAUUUUGAAAUGAUUGCUUUUAUUUUUCUGGGAAUUAGAUAACUGACUCAUGUACUUGUGUUUUACCUGCUCUAAAAUUCACAUUCCUCUCCUGUUGCUAUUCAGAGCUUAAGCCUCCGUGUGUCCACUUGCUAUGACUGGGUGCAUCUUCUUGGUGGCUCCUUGACCUUCAUUUUACCACUCUUUCUCACACCUAAUCACCAGGGAGCUCCAACUAAAGCACAGUCCCCCUUUCUCGAUCUCCACCAUCACACUCAUCUCCAUUGGUACAUCUUUUCUUUUGCUAAAAGUCAAAACCUCACUAAAAAAUGACUUCUUAGAAUAAUCACCAAUGUCAGGCUUCCUUGGUUUUAAGAAAUACAUCUCUGAAGCAGAAGGGGCUGGAUUCAAUUGACUGGAAUUCUCUCAGAUCCAUCACAAAAGACCCAGGCCUUGCUCUCCCUCCCAACUUGUAGUAGUUUCCAAAGUGAAGACAGCAGCAGUUUUUCUUUGUCUAUAAUACAUGGUUUGUAUUACUGACAUCUUCAAACAAACCUGGAUUUCAAAUUCCUCUCAGAAAGAUUGGGGGAUGGGAGGAGUUACAUACUCUAAAGACCCCUAUAUUGUGGUUCAAGAAAAAGGUCUGGAUCUUAGAAGGUAACAAGGUGAUUGUUUUUAAUCCUUCAACUGCUUUGCCUCUCAGUGCCAUUCACCGUGAUGUUUGUAGGUCAGUGGUGCAACUCAACACUCUUCCUAUAAAGCCAUAAUAAUAAUCGCUGGCACAACUAUUACUACAGCAGAACUUCCCUGGAUUUCAUCUAUUAAUUCUUGUAGACCGGAGGAAGCUCACACCCAGCAGACAUCUGUGGCUUUCUGGACAAGGACAAGGGAAGGAACCAGCAUGCAGUCUAUACUGCUUAGAUGCACAAAGCACAGCUCUGUGCCACUGGCAGUAUUCCCAGAGAGGUAGAUGAGAAGGGAGACUUUGGGUAGGAAACAGGUCUAGAACUUCUCUCUAGAGUAGCCUUUGAUGGUUACUGAUGGCAAUUCUUUCGCACCAGAUAAACUCGGUGGACAACUUUGGUAGUAAACUGAACUCAUCCUCAGCCAGCACAAGUGACAAUCCAUAAAGAAAAGAGCGGCAUGUCAUCGUGCCAGAAACCUCUUCUGAAGAGGUGAUCAUGAAUACCCCAUCCAGGGCCCAAAAGGAAAGAACAGCCUGUUCAUAUACUGUAUUCACAGUUUAAAUAAAUCACAAAUAACCUUCAAAGACAGAAAGGAGGAGAGUAGAAGAAAGAAGGGAAGUCAUUGUGAGAGGAGAUUUUACCUUGGAAAAUGUAGUAAGCAUUCCUAAUACUCCUCCAGCUGAUCUCGAAGAUUGCUCACACACCUAAAGCUAUUUUUUUUUAAAUAAUCUCACUGCACUUUGAAAUUCCUGAAGGGUGGUGUGGCAGUGAUACAUUUGGAUUAUUCACUGAUUUUUUUCAAAUUUUAGUUUUUCAUGCUAAUGAAUGUAAUCUGUAAGAAUUGCCAUUUUGAGUACACAACACACACACACAGGUAUAUACACCAUGUAUAUACCUUUACUAAUUUUGUAGAAAAC